Molecule: small nuclear RNA, 292 nt
Filed under: Rattus norvegicus (Norway rat)
Lineage: Eukaryota; Metazoa; Chordata; Mammalia; Rodentia; Muridae
Description: 7SK RNA
Rfam family: 7SK RNA
About the family: 7SK was discovered as an abundant small nuclear RNA in the mid-70s but a possible function has only recently been suggested. Two independent studies have found that 7SK RNA binds the CDK9/cyclin T complex (known as elongation factor P-TEFb). P-TEFb activates transcription by phosphorylating the C-terminal domain of RNA polymerase II.
Source: Rfam by way of RNAcentral
GGAUGUGAGGGCAAUCUGGCUGUGACAUCUGUCACCCCAUUGAUCGCCAGGGUUGAUUCGGCUGAUCUGGCUGGCUAGGCGGGUGUCCCCUUCUUCCCUCACUGUUCCAUGUGCGUCCCUCCCGAAGCUGCGCGCUCGGUCGAAGAGGACGACCUUCCCCGAAUAGAGGAGGACCGGUCUUCGGUCAAGGGUAUACGAGUAGCUGCGCUCCCCUGCUAGAACCUCCAAACAAGCUCUAAAUGUUAAAAUGACAACAGGAGACUGAAGAGAUCACAUGGGAAGCCCCAUGGUG